UAGUGUAGUGGAGCUUGAGUGUCUGAGGCUAAUACCAGGAGUUUGAUCCCGUCCGUGUUAAUGUUUGCAUUUAAAAGGCAUUAUCCAUUUCCCUGUUUUUCAUCUCCCAGGAAACACUGGCAAACUUGGAAAGACAGAUCUAUGCUUUUGAAGGGAGCUACCUGGAAGACACUCAGAUGUACGGCAAUAUCAUUCGGGGCUGGGAUCGGUACCUGACCAACCAGAAAAACUCCAAUAGCAAAAACGAUCGAAGGAACCGGAAGUUUAAGGAAGCUGAGCGUCUCUUCAGUAAAUCCUCAGUUACUUCAGCAGCUGCAGUAAGUGCAUUGGCUGGAGUUCAGGAUCAGCUCAUUGAAAAGAGGGAGCCGGGAAGCGGGACGGAAAGCGAUACUUCUCCAGACUUCCACAAUCAGGAAAAUGAGCCGAGCCAGGAGGACCCCGAGGAUCUGGACGGAUCUGUGCAGGGAGUGAAGCCUCAGAAGGCUGCUUCUUCUACUUCCUCAGGGAAUCAUCACAGCAGCCAUAAAAAACGAAAGAAUAAAAACCGGCACAGCCCGUCUGGCAUGUUUGAUUAUGACUUUGAGUAUGUAUAUUAGGUUAGGCUGGGAAGUUUUUUUUAAAAACAGAAAAACGUGAUGGAGGAUUGAUCUGAAGUUAAACAAAAAACCACGAGCUGACUAUUAGAAGACUCGUUAGUGCAGAAGCUUCCAGGCUAUAGAGCCCUGCUUCCCUUCUCCAACCUCACAAAGAUAAAUAUCCCUCACCUGAGUGCGGGCCGUCCACCUCUGCUUUCCCAGACCCAGUGCCUGUGACUCUGAAUCGUCCUGAACCGUGGUGACCAGUCAUUUCUGUAAGACCACAUUGCAUCGUUUACUUUGUGUCAUUUUUAGUAACAGAACUGCAAGAAGACCAGCCGUGGUUAUAAUUCCAGCAAGUCGCUAACUGUGCGUUUCUCCCUUCUUGGAAUGAAUGUCUCCCCCCACUCCCCCGGCCUGUCCCCACCCUGCCCCCCAAACUGGCUGGCACCAGCUUCUUCGUCUGUGAAACCUGUGGAGAAAUGUUCUCCGGUUUUGUUUGAUGCUGAAGUAGAACAUAGGGCACAGCUCAGAAGGAGGCUGUAAAUAUCUGGCAUUUUCGUUUUUUGUGUCUAUUUUCUUAUUUUUCUAUGGUUUUUACCAUCUUCUUUUCUUUUGGGACUUUUUGUAAUGCCGUUGUACAGCUCAAAACUUCCUGCUGGUAUAUCUGAUGAUUCGCUUCCUGCAGUUGCCAAUAUUCUUAACAGAAAGUAAUCUGGUUUGCCAUAAAUAAAAUGGGAAACUUGGCUCUGGGUUUUUUUUUGUUUUUUUUUUUUUGUGCAGGGGAAAGGUAAAGAGUGUUUAUUUAAUAAUUACCUAUCUUAAAUCUCUCUGCGUUGGAAGCAAUUUCAUAUUCAAGGAAUAGGAGAAGCUGAAAAGCCGAAGUUUAAAUCAGUCCUUUUAAAAUAGAUAUUUUUAUUCUUUUAUAUAAAUAAAAUUUCACAGGUGUUGACUUCUCAUGCUUUACUUUUAAACCCGAGAUUGUUUUUUCACUUAUUUUAUUUAUUCGUAUCAUGCCUUAUGGAAAUUUCUUUCUUCUCCCAUUUUUCUCUCUUUGCCGGUUAUCUGCCUGAUUAAACAUUUGCUCUAAAAAUCAUUAAGGCAUAGGGAAAGGCUCCCGCUCACACCCAAAGCUGGUGAUGCAGGGAGUUCUUGAGCAGAGGAAAGCCAGGAUCCGCGAGAGCCGGCCGUGCGCAGAGCCCCUCCUCAGCAGGCUGGCUGUGCUGAGGACCUUCCUCUAGAGAGUGCUCGGCCUCGGCUGCUCACUGGAGCCACUUGGGGAGCUGAAAGACCUACCAAUGCCUGCCCCUCCCCCCCCACACCCCGCCCCAGAGACUCUGACUGGGGUGCCGUCUAGUUUUGGGGGAUUUCCUUCCAAAGAGUCCCUGGGAUUCUGAUAAGAAGCCGGGUUGUGAACCACUGCAUUAGGAGUGUUUGACUGAAACCCUAUGUUGCGAAUCAGUCUAUGGGAUAAGAUUUGGGGCCCUACCUUUCCUUUGAUACUGUUUAGUCAUAGUCCUUGACUUCUGCCCAUAUCUUUGUUAGAAAAAAUAUGUUCCAUUGUGAUAAUAUUGGUAGAGCUGAAUGCGGAUGGCGUCUGUUAUCGAAAUGAGUCUACCUUGUUGGAUGUGCAAAAGCUUUCAGUCUUGUUCUCGAAUAAACUUUUUUUUCUUUGACUCUGUGGCUAA
RNA transcript from Suricata suricatta (meerkat), 2263 nucleotides. It is a transcript of the gene named MYST/Esa1 associated factor 6, with no coding region annotated. The transcript is spliced from 8 exons. Lineage: Eukaryota; Metazoa; Chordata; Mammalia; Carnivora; Herpestidae. The record is from RefSeq and is a predicted model, not a curated record.